UUGAACGCUGGCGGCAUGCCUUACACAUGCAAGUCGAACGGUAACGCGGGGCAACCUGGCGACGAGUGGCGAACGGGUGAGUAAUGCAUCGGAACGUGCCCAACAGUGGGGGAUAGCCCGGCGAAAGCCGGAUUAAUACCGCAUACGACCUGAGGGUGAAAGCGGGGGACCGUAAGGCCUCGCGCUGUUGGAGCGGCCGAUGUCAGAUUAGGUUGUUGGUGGGGUAAAAGCCUACCAAGCCGACGAUCUGUAGCUGGUCUGAGAGGACGACCAGCCACACUGGGACUGAGACACGGCCCAGACUCCUACGGGAGGCAGCAGUGGGGAAUUUUGGACAAUGGGCGCAAGCCUGAUCCAGCCAUGCCGCGUGCGGGAUGAAGGCCUUCGGGUUGUAAACCGCUUUUGUCAGGGAAGAAACGCUCCGGGCCAACACCCUGGGGUAAUGACGGUACCUGAAGAAUAAGCACCGGCUAACUACGU
RNAcentral lists this ribosomal RNA (480 nucleotides) under uncultured bacterium. RNAcentral's name for it is "bacterial SSU rRNA". It matches the Rfam family "Bacterial small subunit ribosomal RNA", at positions 29 to 506 of the family's 1533-position model. The record is from RNAcentral.